Molecule: ribosomal RNA, 172 nt
Filed under: Lutjanus bohar (two-spotted red snapper)
Lineage: Eukaryota; Metazoa; Chordata; Actinopteri; Lutjaniformes; Lutjanidae
Description: partial 12S rRNA
Source: RNAcentral
CACCGCGGUUAUACGAGAGACCCAAGUUGUUAGACACCGGCGUAAAGAGUGGUUAAGACCUGCCCUAUAAUACUAAAGCCGAACGCCCUCAGAGCUGUUAUACGCAUCCGAAGGUAAGAAGCCCAAUCACGAAAGUGGCUUUAUAAUGUCUGAACCCACGAAAGCUAUGAUA